Molecule: ribosomal RNA, 1027 nt
Filed under: uncultured organism
Description: bacterial SSU rRNA
Rfam family: Bacterial small subunit ribosomal RNA
Source: RNAcentral
UAGGGAAUCUUCGGCAAUGGGGGCAACCCUGACCGAGCAACGCCGCGUGAGUGAAGAAGGUUUUCGGAUCGUAAAGCUCUGUUGUAAGUCAAGAACGAGUGUGAGAGUGGAAAGUUCACACUGUGACGGUAGCUUACCAGAAAGGGACGGCUAACUACGUGCCAGCAGCCGCGGUAAUACGUAGGUCCCGAGCGUUGUCCGGAUUUAUUGGGCGUAAAGCGAGCGCAGGCGGUUUGAUAAGUCUGAAGUUAAAGGCUGUGGCUCAACCAUAGUUCGCUUUGGAAACUGUCAAACUUGAGUGCAGAAGGGGAGAGUGGAAUUCCAUGUGUAGCGGUGAAAUGCGUAGAUAUAUGGAGGAACACCGGUGGCGAAAGCGGCUCUCUGGUCUGUAACUGACGCUGAGGCUCGAAAGCGUGGGGAGCGAACAGGAUUAGAUACCCUGGUAGUCCACGCCGUAAACGAUGAGUGCUAGGUGUUGGAUCCUUUCCGGGAUUCAGUGCCGCAGCUAACGCAUUAAGCACUCCGCCUGGGGAGUACGACCGCAAGGUUGAAACUCAAAGGAAUUGACGGGGGCCCGCACAAGCGGUGGAGCAUGUGGUUUAAUUCGAAGCAACGCGAAGAACCUUACCAGGUCUUGACAUCCCGAUGCUAUUUCUAGAGAUAGAAAGUUACUUCGGUACAUCGGUGACAGGUGGUGCAUGGUUGUCGUCAGCUCGUGUCGUGAGAUGUUGGGUUAAGUCCCGCAACGAGCGCAACCCCUAUUGUUAGUUGCCAUCAUUCAGUUGGGCACUCUAGCGAGACUGCCGGUAAUAAACCGGAGGAAGGUGGGGAUGACGUCAAAUCAUCAUGCCCCUUAUGACCUGGGCUACACACGUGCUACAAUGGUUGGUACAACGAGUUGCGAGUCGGUGACGGCAAGCUAAUCUCUUAAAGCCAAUCUCAGUUCGGAUUGUAGGCUGCAACUCGCCUACAUGAAGUCGGAAUCGCUAGUAAUCGCGGAUCAGCACGCCGCGGUGAAUACGUUCCC